Molecule: non-coding RNA, 90 nt
Organism: Mycena latifolia
Lineage: Eukaryota; Fungi; Basidiomycota; Agaricomycetes; Agaricales; Mycenaceae
Source: the annotation of a GenBank genome assembly
GCGGACGUGGUGCACGGCGCACCGCUGCGUUCUAUGGUGCAGAGGUGCAAGUACAAGCAGUUGAGCGGGGUUCGACUCCCCGCGUCCGCC